This 1077-nucleotide long non-coding RNA is filed under the name Felis catus (domestic cat). RNAcentral's name for it is "lncRNA (ENSFCAG00000053157.1)". The record is from RNAcentral. Lineage: Eukaryota; Metazoa; Chordata; Mammalia; Carnivora; Felidae.
UCAUUUCUAGAAAAGUAUAACCAUUCAUUAAUUGCCUAUCUUAAAAUUCCUAUAAGGCUGACUUGGAUCUCUGACUUAAGUCUAGAAGUGAGGUUUUCACUUUCAUUUAAUAUUAUUACUAUCGUUUAAAUAAUGAUUUGUAAACCACAGCUUGAUUUGGAGUUGCCAGUGUGUUCUGUGUCUUCACUGUUGGUAGGUAGUAAACCCAGAACGGAGUUAAUUAAGCUAACUCUGAACCACAAGGUAGAAGAUAUUACAUUAAUGGGACAACUAGAAAAUAUAUGGAGAGCUGGACAUUAAAAGGAACCUGAAGUGUGCAGUGAGCUGUAAACUCAAGAGAGUGAGAAAUUGACAUAAUUUUGUCUUAGUGACUCAGGAGAAUGAGGACACAUUAUUUUUUCUAAGUCUCUCAUGGACCAGGGAAUAAGAAAAUAUUUGUAAAAGGGACAUGUUUAUUGUUGUUUUUACUCAUGGUUGCCAUUGGCAUUUAAGAAAAUAAUCUUUAACCCUUCCAUCCACUGUGUAAGGUAAUUACAGUGCUCUGUUAAAUUCAUUAAAGAAGCCAUUAGACCGGGGUUGUUCUGAUACCUUAGCAGCCUAAAGCACACUGAAACCUAAGCCUAUAAAUGCCUCAAGGUUGAGAACUAAAAACCUAAGGACAAGUGAUAACAGACAACUAGGCUUUUUCAAAUAAGGCCGACCCUUAGCUGUAGCCAAUCAAAUAAUUUCCUUGCUUUCUUCUGCCUUUUCUGUAUGAAAAUGUUCCCAUUAGCUCCUGUCCGUGGAGUGCCCCUAACUGCUUCCAGUUUGGUACUACCACAUUCAUAUAGGUUUUUGCCCUGAUAAACUCUUAAGAUUUUUAAUAUAUCUAAGUUAAUCCUUUACAAACAAGGAAGCUGAGACUCUGGGAAGUUACACAAUAUAUCCAAGAUCGCAUGGCUGCAUAUAUACAAGUAAUUUGAAUUUGAAUAUUUAAACUAAAAUUCAUGUUUCUUUCUUUCUUCCAAAGAGAGAAGUAGAGUAAGAACCACAAAUUUACAAGGCCUGAAAAAGAAUUUACAACUUUGGAAAUACAUG